AUUGAACGCUGGCGGCAUGCCUUACACAUGCAAGUCGAACGGCAGCACGGGGGCAACCCUGGUGGCGAGUGGCGAACGGGUGAGUAACAUAUCGGAACAUACCCUAGAGUGGGGAUAACGUAGCGAAGUUACGCUAAUACCGCAUACGAUCUAAGGAUGAAAGUGGGGGAUCUUCGGACCUCAUGCUCAUGGAGUGGCCGAUAUCUGAUUAGCUAGUUGGUGAGGUAAAGGCUCACCAAGGCGACGAUCAGUAGCUGGUUUGAGAGAACGACCAGCCACACUGGAACUGAGACACGGUCCAGACUCCUACGGGAGGCAGCAGUGGGGAAUUUUGGGACAAUGGGGGCAACCUUGAUCCAGCAAUGCCGCGUGAGUGAAGAAGGCCUUCGGUUGUAAG
RNAcentral lists this ribosomal RNA (397 nucleotides) under uncultured bacterium. RNAcentral describes it as "bacterial SSU rRNA". It matches the Rfam family "Bacterial small subunit ribosomal RNA", at positions 30 to 429 of the family's 1533-position model. The record is from RNAcentral.